GACGAAUCAUCUGGAAAGAUGAAUCAAAGAAGGUAAUAAUCCUGUAGUCGAAAAUGUUGUCUCUCUUGAGUGGAUCCUGAGUACGACGGAGCACGUGAAAUUCCGUCGGAAUCUGGGAGGACCAUCUCCUAAGGCUAAAUACUCUCUAGUGACCGAUAGUGAACCAGUACCGUGAGGGAAAGGUGAAAAGCACCCCGGAAGGGGAGUGAAAUAGAACCUGAAACCGUGUGCUUACAAGUAGUCAGAGCCCGUUAAUGGGUGAUGGCGUGCCUUUUGUAGAAUGAACCGGCGAGUUACGAUUUGAUGCAAGGUUAAGCAGUAAAUGUGGAGCCGUAGCGAAAGCGAGUCUGAAUAGGGCGUUUAGUAUUUGGUCGUAGACCCGAAACCAGGUGAUCUACCCUUGGUCAGGUUGAAGUUCAGGUAACACUGAAUGGAGGACCGAACCGACUUACGUUGAAAAGUGAGCGGAUGAACUGAGGGUAGCGGAGAAAUUCCAAUCGAACCUGGAGAUAGCUGGUUCUCUCCGAAAUAGCUUUAGGGCUAGCCUCAAGUGAUGAUUAUUGGAGGUAGAGCACUGUUUGGACGAGGGGCCCCUCUCGGGUUACCGAAUUCAGACAAACUCCGAAUGCCAAUUAAUUUAACUUGGGAGUCAGAACAUGGGUGAUAAGGUCCGUGUUCGAAAGGGAAACAGCCCAGACCACCAGCUAAGGUCCCAAAAUAUAUGUUAAGUGGAAAAGGAUGUGGCGUUGCCCAGACAACUAGGAUGUUGGCUUAGAAGCAGCCAUCAUUUAAAGAGUGCGUAAUAGCUCACUAGUCGAGUGACACUGCGCCGAAAAUGUACCGGGGCUAAACAUAUUACCGAAGCUGUGGAUUGUCCUUUGGACAAUGGUAGGAGAGCGUUCUAAGGGCGUUGAAGCAUGAUCGUAAGGACAUGUGGAGCGCUUAGAAGUGAGAAUGCCGGUGUGAGUAGCGAAAGACGGGUGAGAAUCCCGUCCACCGAUUGACUAAGGUUUCCAGAGGAAGGCUCGUCCGCUCUGGGUUAGUCGGGUCCUAAGCUGAGGCCGACAGGCGUAGGCGAUGGAUAACAGGUUGAUAUUCCUGUACCACCUAUAAUCGUUUUAAUCGAUGGGGGGACGCAGUAGGAUAGGCGAAGCGUGCGAUUGGAUUGCACGUCUAAGCAGUAAGGCUGAGUAUUAGGCAAAUCCGGUACUCGUUAAGGCUGAGCUGUGAUGGGGAGAAGACAUUGUGUCUUCGAGUCGUUGAUUUCACACUGCCGAGAAAAGCCUCUAGAUAGAAAAUAGGUGCCCGUACCGCAAACCGACACAGGUAGUCAAGAUGAGAAUUCUAAGGUGAGCGAGCGAACUCUCGUUAAGGAACUCGGCAAAAUGACCCCGUAACUUCGGGAGAAGGGGUGCUCUUUAGGGUUAACGCCCAGAAGAGCCGCAGUGAAUAGGCCCAAGCGACUGUUUAUCAAAAACACAGGUCUCUGCUAAACCGUAAGGUGAUGUAUAGGGGCUGACGCCUGCCCGGUGCUGGAAGGUUAAGAGGAGUGGUUAGCUUCUGCGAAGCUACGAAUCGAAGCCCCAGUAAACGGCGGCCGUAACUAUAACGGUCCUAAGGUAGCGAAAUUCCUUGUCGGGUAAGUUCCGACCCGCACGAAAGGCGUAACGAUUUGGGCACUGUCUCAACGAGAGACUCGGUGAAAUCAUAGUACCUGUGAAGAUGCAGGUUACCCG
Molecule: ribosomal RNA, 1736 nt
Filed under: Staphylococcus aureus
Lineage: Bacteria; Bacillati; Bacillota; Bacilli; Caryophanales; Staphylococcaceae
Description: partial 23S ribosomal RNA
Rfam family: Bacterial large subunit ribosomal RNA
Source: RNAcentral